RNAcentral lists this ribosomal RNA (537 nucleotides) under Triticum aestivum (bread wheat). RNAcentral describes it as "partial small subunit ribosomal RNA". Lineage: Eukaryota; Viridiplantae; Streptophyta; Magnoliopsida; Poales; Poaceae. The record is from RNAcentral.
AUGGGCCAGCCCAACUACCGUCACCAAACUCACGCGUUAGCACACUUUCGAGCGCAUUCUCUUUUUGAUUGCCGGAUGGCGCGUUGCGUAUGGGCUUUGGGAGACGAGGAGACUGUCGAGGUUCUGCUAUCCAACAGAUCAGAUGAUGCGAGGCUGUGGCUAUUCUGGCUGUUUGAAACGAUAAGUCAGCAAGAUCUAGCAAAAAUACUCAUAUCAAUGUGGGCUAUUUGGUGGGCGAGGAGAAGAGCCAUACAUGAUGAUGAAUUUCAGAGCCCUUUGUCUACCUUGAGCUUCAUAAACCGUUAUUUGAAGGACCUGAACAUAGCUACAGUUAUGAAACCAGCCACCAAUACUACAACUUCAGAGAAGCGAGUUCAUAGGUGGAUUGCACCAGGACGGGGGCGGCCGCAACGAUCUGCAGAGACAAAGAUGGCAACUAUCUCGGCGCGUCAGCUGUCACCAUUGCCGGUCUGGUGGAUGCAGCGAGCCUUGAAGCACAUGCAUGCAGCGAGGCGCUUGCUCUCGCGAGAGAUCUAA